UGUUUUCGUGCUGUGCGCAUGUGCUCUGAGAGAGGUAGAUCUUUGUUACUUGGAUAGCAAUCUGGCAGGUCAGAUCGCAGGGUCUGACAUAAAACCUACCUGAUUUCAAUGGAAUGAAACCUAGACAGCUUCUUUGCAGGUAGAUUGUAAUUUGCACAGGCCGAGCCUUACAGAGCAGCAAUGGAGCCAAAGUGUUCAGGAUCGACUGAAGUUUAUCAGGUAAAUUAGUCU
Chiloscyllium plagiosum (whitespotted bambooshark) is the source of this 231-nucleotide non-coding RNA. The record is from RefSeq and is a predicted model, not a curated record. NCBI's taxonomy places the organism in Eukaryota, Metazoa, Chordata, Chondrichthyes, Orectolobiformes, Hemiscylliidae.